AUAGCGACUAUCGUGGCAUAUCAAUAAGCGGAGGAAAAGAAACUAACAAGGAUUCCCUUAGUAACGGCGAGUGAAGCGGGAAGAGCUCAAAUUUGAAAUCUUCAAGGUUCUACCUUGACGAAUUGUAGUUUAUAGAAGUGUUUUCUGUUAGUGGAGUGGCGAAAGUUCUUUGGAAUAGGACAUCAUAGAGGGUGAGAAUCCCGUAUUUGGUCAUUCCUCCUAGCGUUGUGAUACACUUUCAACGAGUCGGAUUGUUUGGGAAUGCAGUCCAAAGUGGGUGGUAAAUUUCAUCUAAAGCUAAAUAUUGGCGAGAGACCGAUAGCGAACAAGUACCGUGAGGGAAAGAUGAAAAGAACUUUGAAAAGAGAGUUAAACAGUACGUGAAAUUGUCAAAAGGGAAGCGUUUGACACCAGUGUUGUUUUCUCGAAAAUCAAUUAAAAAUGAUGGGAUUUUGUGUUGUAUUGACUUUAUCAGCUUUCUGCACUUUUUUCUUAUCUUUUUUAAUGCACUUUUCGUUUAACAAGUCAACAUCAAUUUCUUUUGUUGUAAAAGAGUCAUUGGAAGGUGGCUUUUUCUUCGGAAAAAGUGUUUAUAGCCUUUGGCUUCUGCAAUCGGAGAGAUUGAGGUCUGCAGCGUAGAUCCUUCGGGGUUAGAUACAUUUGUGCUAAGCUAUAGUUCUUUAUAGACAACUUGUUGACUAUAAUCAAUCCUGUAACUUACUCGCUUAUGCUAUUUUACCUACGCUUAGGAUGUUGACGAGACUGUCGAUCUC
This 773-nucleotide ribosomal RNA is filed under the name uncultured Neocallimastigales. Its description in RNAcentral is "partial large subunit ribosomal RNA". The stretch from base 4 to 692 matches the Rfam family "Eukaryotic large subunit ribosomal RNA", at positions 24 to 664 of the family's 3401-position model. Lineage: Eukaryota; Fungi; Neocallimastigomycota; Neocallimastigomycetes; Neocallimastigales. The record is from RNAcentral.